This 465-nucleotide ribosomal RNA is filed under the name Vreelandella stevensii. RNAcentral describes it as "partial 16S ribosomal RNA". It matches the Rfam family "Bacterial small subunit ribosomal RNA", at positions 338 to 795 of the family's 1533-position model. The record is from RNAcentral. Lineage: Bacteria; Pseudomonadati; Pseudomonadota; Gammaproteobacteria; Oceanospirillales; Halomonadaceae.
CCUAGGGGUGGCAGCAGUGGGGAAUAUUGGACAAUGGGCGAAAGCCUGAUCCAGCCAUGCCGCGUGUGUGAAGAAGGCCUUCGGGUUGUAAAGCACUUUCAGUGGGGAAGAAAGCCUUGGGGCUAAUACCCUCGAGGAAGGACAUCACCCACAGAAGAAGCACCGGCUAACUCCGUGCCAGCAGCCGCGGUAAUACGGAGGGUGCGAGCGUUAAUCGGAAUUACUGGGCGUAAAGCGCGCGUAGGCGGUCUGAUAAGCCGGUUGUGAAAGCCCCGGGCUCAACCUGGGAACGGCAUCCGGAACUGUCAGGCUAGAGGGCAGGAGAGGAAGGUAGAAUUCCCGGUGUAGCGGUGAAAUGCGUAGAGAUCGGGAGGAAUACCAGUGGCGAAGGCGGCCUUCUGGACUGACACUGACGCUGAGGUGCGAAAGCGUGGGUAGCAAACAGGAUUAGAUACCCCAGUAGUC